UACGUAGGGACCAAGCGUUGUUCGGAUUUACUGGGCGUAAAGGGCGCGUAGGCGGCGCGGUAAGUCACUUGUGAAAUCUCUGAGCUUAACUCAGAACGGCCAAGUGAUACUGCAGUGCUAGAGUGUGGAAGGGGCAAUCGGAAUUCUUGGUGUAGCGGUGAAAUGCGUAGAUAUCAAGAGGAACACCUGAGGUGAAGACGGGUUGCUGGGCUGACACUGACGCUGAUGCGCGAAAGCCAGGGGAGCAAACGGG
Molecule: ribosomal RNA, 253 nt
Filed under: uncultured bacterium
Lineage: Bacteria
Description: partial 16S ribosomal RNA
Rfam family: Bacterial small subunit ribosomal RNA
Source: RNAcentral